RNAcentral lists this ribosomal RNA (254 nucleotides) under uncultured bacterium. Its description in RNAcentral is "partial 16S ribosomal RNA". It matches the Rfam family "Bacterial small subunit ribosomal RNA", at positions 524 to 776 of the family's 1533-position model. The record is from RNAcentral.
UACGGGGGGAGCAAGCGUUGUUCGGAUUUACUGGGCGUAAAGAGCUCGUAGGCGGUUUGUCGCGUCUGCUGUGAAAACUCAGGGCUUAACCCUGAGCCUGCAGUGGGUACGGGCAGACUAGAGUGUGGUAGGGGAGAUCGGAAUUCCGUGGUGUAGCGGUGGAAUGCGCAGAUAUCAGGAGGAACACCGGUGGCGAAGGCGGAUCUCUGGGCCAUAACUGACGCUGAGGAGCGAAAGCAUGGGGAGCGAACAGG